This 236-nucleotide long non-coding RNA is filed under the name Capsella rubella. RNAcentral's name for it is "long non-coding RNA (CRUB_LNC003635)". The record is from RNAcentral. Lineage: Eukaryota; Viridiplantae; Streptophyta; Magnoliopsida; Brassicales; Brassicaceae.
UUUUUGUGUCGACAGAAAUGGUUUAUAUAUCCUCACGGCCAGUUUCUAGUUAUCGUAACUUUCUAAAAAAGAUGUUUUAAUUACUAAUCUUACGUACGUGUAGUGAAAUUUCUUGUAUAUUAUAAUAUUAUGCAAAAAGGGAAAAUUGGAUUUCAACAAAAAAAAAAAAAAGGGAAAAUAGGAAAUUGAUCGUUGUGGCUGUGGAUAUUUGUAAUUUUUAAAAAUAUAUAUCACAU